GUCAACGCCCUAAACGAUGGACACUAAGUGUCGGCAGGUUACUGCCGGUGCCGCAGCUAACGCAUUAAGUGUCCCGCCUGGGGAGUACGGCCGCAAGGUUGAAACUCAAAGGAAUUGACGGGGGCCCGCACAAGCGGUGGAGCAUGUGGUUUAAUUCGACGCAACGCGAAGAACCUUACCCAGGCUGGACAAGCAGGUAGUAAGAACCUGAAAGGGGAUGAGCCCGCAAGGGCAUUCUGCUCAGGUGCUGCAUGGCUGUCGU
This 262-nucleotide ribosomal RNA is filed under the name uncultured bacterium. RNAcentral describes it as "partial 16S ribosomal RNA". It matches the Rfam family "Bacterial small subunit ribosomal RNA", at positions 793 to 1055 of the family's 1533-position model. The record is from RNAcentral.